Long non-coding RNA from Magnolia sinica, 701 nucleotides. RefSeq lists it as uncharacterized. The transcript has 2 exons. The record is from RefSeq and is a predicted model, not a curated record. Lineage: Eukaryota; Viridiplantae; Streptophyta; Magnoliopsida; Magnoliales; Magnoliaceae.
UCUCCGAACAAUCCCCAUGCAGGGCCGUCAUCGUCCGUCGCUCCGGUGGCCCCCAACAAUCUCCAUGCAGAGCUGUCAUUGUCCGUCGAGCCGGAAUCCCCUAAAAAUCCCCAUGCAGAGGUGUCAUUGUCCGUUGCUCCGGCGGCCCCGAACAAUCCCCAUGCAGGAGUUGCUGAAGAAUUACAGGAAAAGAGACGGCAAGCAAAUACCAACUGAGAGCUUUCAACCAUUCCCCAGAAGAGCUUUGUUAAGCCCACGCGCCUGUACUAGGAAACCCGUGUACACGCCACCCAUGUACCAAAUCACCACACUGUGCAAGAUCCAAGCCAUCCAUCAGAUGGGGCCCGCAAUGAAGAUGAUCUUGACCUAAAAUGGAUGCAAUCUGCUGGUCAUUUGAGAUACAGUUUACUAAACAAAUGGACGGCCAGAAAAAUUGUCAUGACUGGAUUGGCCUGAGUUUUCAGCAGGAGCGUCUAUACAGUCGGACCCACCUGAUGGGUGGCUUGGAUUUCAAACACACACGGCACGUUGGAGCAUAGGGGAUGUGCUUAUCUCCCUUGUACACGUGUUUGAGUUUAACAAAGCUCUACCCUUAAACAGGAGAGGCAUUUUCUUUAAGUGCAUAUUUUUGGUUUUGACUAUGUACUGAGAAAUCAAAUUAGGCUAAGAUUGUUAUAUAAUUCAUAAGCUUUAUUGCUUAA